Molecule: transfer RNA, 73 nt
Filed under: Camelus bactrianus (Bactrian camel)
Lineage: Eukaryota; Metazoa; Chordata; Mammalia; Artiodactyla; Camelidae
Also listed under: 2 other names
Rfam family: tRNA
About the family: Transfer RNA (tRNA) molecules are approximately 80 nucleotides in length. Their secondary structure includes four short double-helical elements and three loops (D, anti-codon, and T loops).
Source: Rfam by way of RNAcentral
GGGUGUAUAGCUUAAGUGAUAAGGCGUGUGCUUAGCAUGCACGAGGUCCUGGGUUCAAUCCCCAGUAUCUCUA